UACAUGGGGUGCAACCGUUGCUCGGAAUCAUUGGGCGUAAAGCGCGCGUAGGCGGUUACUUAAGUCGAAUGUGAAAGCCCUCGGCUUAACUGAGGAAGUGCAUCCGAAACUGAGUAGCUAGAGUACGAAAGAGGGUCGCGGAAUUCCCGGUGUAGAGGUGAAAUUCGUAGAUAUCGGGAGGAACACCGGUGGCGAAGGCGGCGACCUGGGUAGAUACUGACGCUGAGGUGCGAAAGCGUGGGGAGCAAACAGG
Molecule: ribosomal RNA, 253 nt
Filed under: uncultured bacterium
Lineage: Bacteria
Description: partial 16S ribosomal RNA
Rfam family: Bacterial small subunit ribosomal RNA
Source: RNAcentral